RNAcentral lists this long non-coding RNA (1218 nucleotides) under Mus musculus (house mouse). RNAcentral describes it as "long non-coding RNA chr13:78033533-78034751". The record is from RNAcentral. Lineage: Eukaryota; Metazoa; Chordata; Mammalia; Rodentia; Muridae.
CAUUCAUUUUUGUCUUUGUGGUAAUGUUGAUCAAACCCAGGGCCUUGUUACUUCUAGACAACUGAUCUACCCUGCAUAUAUCCCAGGAAAUGUCCCUGCUAAUCCCUACUGGUAUCCAUCCUUUAGUAGAUAAUAAGAGACUGUACUGAUCAACUUGACAUUUUUUUCUGGAACUUUCAAGCUUUGUGUCUCUUUCAUUUUAUUUGUUACUGUGCCUCACUAAAAGUAAUCCCUAAGUCUCAUACAUAAAUACAUCUUUUGUGGGGGCUGUAAGUGGGGUUCAAGACAGAGUCUAAGUAGGUAGACUCUGCGUGUCCUGGAACUCACUAUAUAUACCAAGCUGGCGUCUUAACUCAAAGAUAUCUGUAGUCUAUCUUAUUACUCAUAAAUUAUUUUAUAUGUGAUUUUAAAAUAUGGAAUUUUAUCAUUGUCUUCUUUUAGUUCUUUUUUCUAAUUCUGAUUUUUUAAUGUUAUUUCUCAAAUCAUUUUGCUAUAUAAGAACUUUUGUAGUCUGUGUUAUAUCACUUUGAAAGACAUAGUAAUCAAAUCAGUCAAGAAAACUUUUUUUUAAAAACCAGCUACUAUUUAUCCUCUUCUGUCUUCAGAGACAAUAAGAAGUAGCUGGUCAGUGUUCACUCACAGUUUCAUGUAUAGUAAUACUAUUUAAUGACACCCUAUGACAUGUCAUUAUGGUUCUCACAAUGAAAAACCUUCCUAGAUAUGCUGAAAGGCAAACUGUUAUAAAAUAUCAAUUUUUAUAGAUUGCAAUACUAUUUUAAUUGGCCAAAAUUUGAUGCAUCUAGCAACCAGUGUGAUAGUAAAGGAAUGCCAUAAACUUAAUUUGAGACAUUGUUUCCUUAAGGGGCAAUAAAGUGAUGACAAGUCUUGAGAUUGGCAGUUGUCUUGUAUUUAACAAGAUUAACAGGUCCUCAUUUCCCAGGGAUUCACCUAGAUCAGAUUCUUGUUAGUGAACAUCUUAUAAGAAUAUUAUAUUUGAUUUAAAAAUAUAAAAUCUUCUUCUUAGGACAUUAGACAUCAUUCCUUAAUGUGCAUAUUUUAUAAAAUCAGGUUUUCAUUACCAUAUUUACCUGAGCAUCCUUAAAUUACCUUGGUUUUUUUUUUCUCUUUCUUUUAUUGAAUAACAAGUUUUUUUCUCAUAAAAUAUAUCCUGGUUAUAGUAGUUUUUGCUCACUCUACUACUCUCCCUUUCUAUCUCUC